UCUGGGGGAUUAGUGGCGAACGGGUGAGUAACACGUGAGCAACCUGCCCCUGACUCUGGGAUAAGCGCUGGAAACGGUGUCUAAUACUGGAUAUGUCCUAUCACCGCAUGGUGUGUGGGUGGAAAGAUUUUUCGGUUGGGGAUGGGCUCGCGGCCUAUCAGCUUGUUGGUGAGGUAAUGGCUCACCAAGGCGUCGACGGGUAGCCGGCCUGAGAGGGUGACCGGCCACACUGGGACUGAGACACGGCCCAGACUCCUACGGGAGGCAGCAGUGGGGAAUAUUGCACAAUGGGCGCAAGCCUGAUGCAGCAACGCCGCGUGAGGGAUGACGGCCUUCGGGUUGUAAACCUCUUUUAGCAGGGAAGAAGCGAGAGUGACGGUACCUGCAGAAAAAGCACCGGCUAACUACGUGCCAGCAGCCGCGGUAAUACGUAGGGUGCAAGCGUUAUCCGGAAUUAUUGGGCGUAAAGAGCUCGUAGGCGGUUUGUCGCGUCUGCUGUGAAAUCCCGAGGCUCAACUUCGGGCUUGCAGUGGGUACGGGCAGACUAGAGUGCGGUAGGGGAGAUUGGAAUUCCUGGUGUAGCGGUGGAAUGCGCAGAUAUCAGGAGGAACACCGAUGGCGAAGGCAGAUCUCUGGGCCGUAACUGACGCUGAGGAGCGAAAGGGUGGGGAGCAAACAGGCUUAGAUACCCUGGUAGUCCACCCCGUAA
RNAcentral lists this ribosomal RNA (709 nucleotides) under Microbacterium suwonense. Its description in RNAcentral is "bacterial SSU rRNA". It matches the Rfam family "Bacterial small subunit ribosomal RNA", at positions 83 to 805 of the family's 1533-position model. Lineage: Bacteria; Bacillati; Actinomycetota; Actinomycetes; Micrococcales; Microbacteriaceae. The record is from RNAcentral.